GACGAACGCUGGCGGCGUGCUUAACACAUGCAAGUCGAACGGAAAGGCCCUUCGGGGUACUCGAGUGGCGAACGGGUGAGUAACACGUGGGUGAUCUGCCCUGCACUUUGGGAUAAGCCUGGGAAACUGGGUCUAAUACCGAAUAGGACCACGCGCUUCAUGGUGUGUGGUGGAAAGCUUUUGCGGUGUGGGAUGGGCCCGCGGCCUAUCAGCUUGUUGGUGGGGUAAUGGCCUACCAAGGCGACGACGGGUAGCCGGCCUGAGAGGGUGACCGGCCACACUGGGACUGAGAUACGGCCCAGACUCCUACGGGAGGCAGCAGUGGGGAAUAUUGCACAGUGGGCGCAAGCCUGAUGCAGCGACGCCGCGUGAGGGAUGACGGCCUUCGGGUUGUAAACCUCUUUCAAUAGGGACGAAGCGCAAGUGACGGUACCUAUAGAAGAAGCACCGGCCAACUACGUG
Molecule: ribosomal RNA, 462 nt
Filed under: uncultured bacterium
Lineage: Bacteria
Description: partial 16S ribosomal RNA
Rfam family: Bacterial small subunit ribosomal RNA
Source: RNAcentral